Molecule: long non-coding RNA, 1018 nt
Organism: Oncorhynchus keta (chum salmon)
Lineage: Eukaryota; Metazoa; Chordata; Actinopteri; Salmoniformes; Salmonidae
Exons: 3
Source: RefSeq, a predicted model, not a curated record
AGCAGCAGAAUCAGUACCAGGUGUUUGUCUCUGUGUGUGUAGGACCUGAAGCAGCAGAAUCAGUACCAGGUGUUUGUCUCUGUGUGUUUAGGACCUGAAGCAGCAGAAUCAGUACCAGGUGUUUGUCUCUGUGUGUGUAGGACCUGAAGCAGCAGAAUCAGUACCAGGUGUUUGUCUCUGUGUGUGUAGGACCUGAAGCAGCAGAAUCAGUACCAGGUGUUUGUCUCUGUGUGUGUAGGACCUGAAGCAGCAGAAUCAGUACCAGGUGUUUGUCUCUGUGUGUGUAGGACCUGAAGCAGCAGAAUCAGUACCAGGUGUUUGUCUCUGUGUGUGUAGGACCUGAAGCAGCAGAAUCAGUACCAGGUGUUUGUCUCUGUGUGUGUAGGACCUGAAGCAGCAGAAUCAGUACCAGGUGUUUGUCUCUGUGUGUGUAGGACCUGAAGCAGCAGAAUCAGUACCAGGUGUUUGUCUCUGUGUGUGUAGGACCUGAAGCAGCAGAAUCAGUACCAGGUGUUUGUCUCUGUGUGUGUAGGACCUGAAGCAGCAGAAUCAGUACCAGGUGUUUGUCUCUGUGUGUUUAGGACCUGAAGCAGCAGAAUCAGUACCAGGUGUUUGUCUCUGUGUGUGUAGGACCUGAAGCAGCAGAAUCAGUACCAGGUGUUUGUCUCUGUGUGUGUAGGACCUGAAGCAGCAGAACCAGUACCAGGUGUUUGUCUCUGUGUGUUUAGGACCUGAAGCAGCAGAACCAGUACCAGGUGUUUGUCUCUGUGUGUGUAGGACCUGAAGCAGCAGAACCAGUACCAGGUGUUUGUCUCUGUGUGUUUAGGACCUGAAGCAGCAGAAUCAGUACCAGGUGUUUGUCUCUGUGUGUGUAGGACCUGAAGCAGCAGAAUCAGUACCAGGUGUUUGUCUCUGUGUGUGUAGGACCUGAAGCAGCAGAAUCAGUACCAGGUGUUUGUCUCUGUGUGUCUAGGACCUGAAGCAGCAGAAUCAGUACCAGGUGUUUGUCUCUGUGUGU